RNAcentral lists this ribosomal RNA (45 nucleotides) under Erysiphe pisi. Its description in RNAcentral is "partial 28S ribosomal RNA". Lineage: Eukaryota; Fungi; Ascomycota; Leotiomycetes; Helotiales; Erysiphaceae. RNAcentral also lists the same sequence under 13 other names. The record is from RNAcentral.
UUGACCUCGAAUCAGGUAGGAAUACCCGCUGAACUUAAGCAUAUC